UACGAAGGGGGCUAGCGUUGCUCGGAAUCACUGGGCGUAAAGGGUGCGUAGGCGGAUGUGUCAGUCAGGGGUGAAAUCCCGGGGCUCAACCUCGGAACUGCCUUUGAUACAGCACGUCUCGAGUCCGGAAGAGGUGGGUGGAAUUCCUAGUGUAGAGGUGAAAUUCGUAGAUAUUAGGAAGAACACCGGUGGCGAAGGCGGCCCACUGGUCCGGUACUGACGCUGAGGUGCGAAAGCGUGGGGAGCAAACAGG
RNAcentral lists this ribosomal RNA (253 nucleotides) under uncultured bacterium. RNAcentral's name for it is "partial 16S ribosomal RNA". It matches the Rfam family "Bacterial small subunit ribosomal RNA", at positions 524 to 776 of the family's 1533-position model. The record is from RNAcentral.